UCUCCUGGAAACGGGUGGUAAUGCCGGAUGUUCCACAUGAUCGCAUGUGAUUGUGGGAAAGAUUUCAUCGGCGUGGGAUGGGGUCGCGUCCUAUCAGCUUGUUGGUGAGGUAACGGCUCACCAAGGCUUCGACGGGUAGCCGGCCUGAGAGGGCGACCGGCCACAUUGGGACUGAGAUACGGCCCAGACUCCUACGGGAGGCAGCAGUGGGGAAUAUUGCACAAUGGGCGCAAGCCUGAUGCAGCGACGCCGCGUGAGGGAUGGAGGCCUUCGGGUUGUAAACCUCUUUUGUUUGGGAGCAAGCCUUCGGGUGAGUGUACCUUUCGAAUAAGCGCCGGCUAACUACGUGCCAGCAGCCGCGGUAAUACGUAGGGCGCAAGCGUUAUCCGGAUUUAUUGGGCGUAAAGGGCUCGUAGGCGGCUCGUCGCGUCCGGUGUGAAAGUCCAUCGCUUAACGGUGGAUCUGCGCCGGGUACGGGCGGGCUGGAGUGCGGUAGGGGAGACUGGAAUUCCCGGUGUAACGGUGGAAUGUGUAGAUAUCGGAAAGAACACCA
RNAcentral lists this ribosomal RNA (553 nucleotides) under Bifidobacterium bifidum. RNAcentral's name for it is "bacterial SSU rRNA". It matches the Rfam family "Bacterial small subunit ribosomal RNA", at positions 146 to 711 of the family's 1533-position model. Lineage: Bacteria; Bacillati; Actinomycetota; Actinomycetes; Bifidobacteriales; Bifidobacteriaceae. The record is from RNAcentral.